Leptopilina boulardi is the source of this 3245-nucleotide RNA transcript. RefSeq lists it as uncharacterized. The transcript has 7 exons. The record is from RefSeq and is a predicted model, not a curated record. Lineage: Eukaryota; Metazoa; Arthropoda; Insecta; Hymenoptera; Figitidae.
AUAGAAAAAAAAUUAAAUGAAAAAAAAAUUUCUUAUUUAUGGCUAAUAUAAGUGUAUAUAUAAAAUAAUAACACAAAAAACAUGUUGGAGAUAAAGUAUUAAAAAAAAAAUUGUUCUCCAACCCCUAACCCUCUCUCUUUUCUUGCUGUCGUCCCUUGACAGCUCUUUUUUUUUUGAAUGAAGGUUAGAAAAAGGUUAGUAGAAAUGAAUUUGAUUUACGUUAUAUAUUAUUCAUACUAAAAAAAAUGUGUCGCAUUUCUGUAUCAUAUUGUAUGUAAAAAUUGCUGAGCCUCUUUUAUUUUUGUUAGUUUGCAGAAAGUGUUUCCUUUAAGUGUUCGUUUAUAUUACGUGAUCAGUCUUUCUAUAGUCUUUCUCGAGUUCCGAGCUAUAUUACAAAAUUUUCUUUCCUUUGUUAUUUGUUCGAAGUUCCUUUGUUCAAUUAUUUAAUAACUUAUGUCUUCCCAAUCUUUUUCUUUCGAUUCUUACGUGAUGGCCCUUGAAUUGGCUAGGAGUGGCGUGGUGGAUGCGGCGGGUUUUUUAGUUUGGAAGAGGUUCGAGCUGGAGAAAUUGCAGUCCGAUAAAGUGUUGAGUGGCUGUCGUGGGUAUGUAUUUUGUUUAAUUACUUCCUUUCCCUUUUUUUUUUUUUUUUUUUUUUUUUUUUUUUUUUUUUUUUUUUUUUUUUUUUUUUUUUUUUUUUACAUAAAAUGUUUUACGUUUAUUUAAUUGUGAUUUUACUUAAAACGAAAAAAAAAUUGUUUUAGGGUUCAAAUUUUUAUACCUGAGUGGGUAGAUGCUCCAGCUAGAAACCCUUCCUUCUCUAAAUGGCCUGUGGAUUUGGUGGGUAUGCGGAAAGCAGUAAAAAGCGAUGUGGGGGAGGUUAUUUGGCGCCAAGAGUACCGUUGGAGUUGGGUGAAAAAAAAAUACCAAUACCGUGGCUAUUGGGCGCCUGCCUCUUUUGAACACCCCACCUUGUGUACAGUUCCGGAUACCUUGGAAAUUGAGGAGAUACAGGGCUGUUUGGGUGUCAAUAUCUCCAAUUAGUGAGUAUUCUAAAUUUCUACAUUUAAAUUUUCGUUAAAAUUAAAUUUAAAUUUAAUUUAAAUUUAAAUUUAAAUUUUGCUUGAGUUAAUAUACCUAAAAAAAAUAAAAUUUGAUUCUCAACUUAAAUAUUUUUCCCUUUUGUUUUUACAGUCCUUAUUCCCAUUUGCCCGCUUUUCCAAGGACUUAUGGGCCACGUCCUACUGAUCCGGCAUUAGAAUUAAUCUAUUGUCAAAGAUACCGAGAAGAGUGGGAAGAUCUUGUUUUAGUGGGCAGUAGGUGGGAGACGGUAAGUUCCCCCCCCCUUUUUUUUUCUUUGCUUUACAAAAUUUUGUUAAAAUAAAAAAAUAAAAUGUUUUUCUCUUUUGUUUUGUUUUUUUUUUUUCAGAGAUGGGCUUUACGCAUGCCGGUCAUCUGGCAUGAGUGUUAAUUUUAGUUAUUUAUUUAUUAUUAUUAUGUAUUGUAUUUUAAAACAAACUUCCGCUUUUUCUUAAUAAAAAAAAAUCUUUCACGUUUUUAGAAUUAAAUAUAACAUUAAUUAAUAAACAAUAUUGAGUUUUUAUUGAUGAUUUUAAUAAAAAUUAAUAAUUGCAAUGUUCGUCUUUUUCUUUUGUGUUCUAUACCCCCUUUCUUUUUUUUUAUUUUUUUAGAAAAAUUAAACAACAAAAAAAAAUUUUUUUUUAAAUAAAUAAAAGAACGAAAGUUCGUUUGUUUUCAUGGUUAGUGUGCUGUUUAAAGUUGUGGUUAUUUUACUAUAUAUCUUUUCUUUCAGUAAAAUUUAUUAAUAUAUAUUAAAAAAAAAAACGAUAGGUUUUUUAAUAAUUUUUUUUUUCUAAAUAAUAUCCUUAUAAAUAAAUAAAUAAAAAAAAAUACGCAAAAAAAAACUUGUUGUCUGAUAAUUGAAAUAUCUUUGCCGCUCUCUUUUAUUUUCUGUGCUACCUAUAGUACUUGCGUACUUAUGGUAAGCCAUUAGGCUUUACAUUGUUCAGCAAUUAAUCCUCGCGGUGGCAGCAUCUUGCAGCCCGUCGCGGUUUCCUUCCCCCUUCGUUUCUACCUCCUUCUAAUCCCUGUUUCUUUUUCCCUUGUUUCGCUUCCGCGCGGUCCUAGCGGCACGCAAUAAUUAUUUCGCGCUUCAUUUUUUCUUUUCGUUUUUUUUUUUUUUUUUUUAGUGAUUUGUGUUUUUUUUUUUUUUGGUGUUUGUUCUCUCCCUUUUGACAGUGUAAAGUGGUUAAAACAAAGUGUAUGUGUAGUGUAUUUACUCUAAGUCCGCCCUUCCCCCCUUCGUCCCUUCGUUUCGAAGUGUUUACUGUAAAAAAAAAAAUUUUUUUUUUUAUAUGGAUUACGUUGGAUUAUUUAUUUAACCUGUGUCUCAUGGAUUAGUUCCAGAGUUACAACAUCGUAUGAUGAGUUCCCCUGCCUCCGGCUCUAGUGAUUUGGAGUUUGUUUCCCUUUUCCGCCGUGAGGACAUUGUUUGGCCCGAGGUAGAGAUUGAUUCCACUUGUAGUGAAAUCAGUGACGCCUCUACUUUACCCUUACUCACUAGUACCCCUGCCCAAAGUGAAAUACCGGACACUCCUGCUUCCCCUGAUCCUGUAUUUGAGGCGUAUUUUGACGCCCAUGCACGACCUUAUAGCCCAGCCCCCCUUUCUACUGGUGUUGAAUCUGUUGGAUCUCGCUUGACACGAGACAGCUCCACCCAGACCAACCCCUAUUUUCCGGAGGGUUUACCUUUGGAAGGCCAUCUUUAUAGUAUUCCGGCGCUCAGUUCAGCUGAACAUUUGCUGAACAGUGAUCUCCCUCUUCGUCCCUAUAACCCCCUUCUGCUGACGAGCAAGUGGUCCUGCAGCUGAUCGCUCGGCGUAGAAUUUUGGCUGACGGUUCCAUCCGAAUGGAAUAUCGGUGGGCUGGUCCUAAUUUUUAUUAAAUUUAUAAUAUAAAAUGGGUGAAUAUACUGCACGACAUUAUAUGGAGAUGGUAAUGUUGUACGGCGAACACGGGUAUAAUGCUCACCAAGCAGCUGCCGCAUUUAGGCAGAGGCACCCUGCACUUCGACCAAACCAUAAUACCAUUCUCAGAGUCAUCCAACGAGGAAAUGAGAAUGGUAAUUUGGUUCCUGAUAAUAGAAACAGGGCGGGUGCACCUAGGAGGGCGAGAAACCCAGCGAAUGAGGAGAGGAUUCUCCAAUAUAUCCAUCAACACCCGACGCA